Manis pentadactyla (Chinese pangolin) is the source of this 627-nucleotide long non-coding RNA. RefSeq lists it as uncharacterized. The transcript has 3 exons. The record is from RefSeq and is a predicted model, not a curated record. NCBI's taxonomy places the organism in Eukaryota, Metazoa, Chordata, Mammalia, Pholidota, Manidae.
GGGGGCGCCCGGUGGAGAAUGGGGAGAGGAGAGCUCCGGGCUGCCACGGGGAGAGGAGGGCGACUACCCAGACCCGGGUCUCCUUACCUACCUUGACGAACUUUGUGCCCAGGACAAAUACUUCCUUGCUAAGGUGGACGUAGUGCUGCACCCACACUUCCUGGCGGAGUUGCUCUCCCCACAUCCUGAGCUGUACCUCUUGGCCCUUGCUGAGGAGCUGGAGAAGGAGGAAGGACUGUCCAUCUUACAGCUGGAGCACAGGCGACUCCUGGAACUGAGGCAGGAGGAGGAGGGUGUGCAGGCCCCCCCAAGUCAUGGCGCACCCCAACUGGACUCAAGGCCUUCUGAGUGUGAGGCCAGCCAGUCUCCCCAGAGGCCAGGCCUCAGCCCCACUGGCCCUCCAGCUGCCAAGGCCAGCAGUCAGCCCCCGUGUGCAGGCACAGCGCCUGCUGGGAAGACACCCCUGCCAGGGGCCAGCCUCGGGCUCGCUGGGGGACCAGCCUUGGCUCUGGGUCUGGGCCACCCCUCACAGGCCCAGAAGAGAAAGGGGGACCCUUUUGUCCCAGAGAGGCGUAAGAGGCAGCACUGCAGCCAGUAGGGAGGAGCCGGCCCUCCAGGGCAGCUUCA